This 200-nucleotide unclassified non-coding RNA is filed under the name soil metagenome. RNAcentral's name for it is "partial contains internal transcribed spacer 2 and large subunit ribosomal RNA". The record is from RNAcentral.
CGAGCGUCAUUACACCCCUCAAGUCAAACUUUUCGGUUAACUUGGUGUUGGGCCUUGCCGGAAGGCAUGCCUAAAAAUUAGCGAUGGUACGUUAAACCACGGACGCACAAAUGUCGUUACGUAGGGGGGCACGGCACCAGCCUAAUAAUUAAUUUCUCAAUGUUGACCUCGGAUCAGGUAGGAAUACCCGCUGAACUUAA